This 861-nucleotide ribosomal RNA is filed under the name uncultured bacterium. RNAcentral's name for it is "bacterial SSU rRNA". It matches the Rfam family "Bacterial small subunit ribosomal RNA", at positions 8 to 917 of the family's 1533-position model. The record is from RNAcentral.
AGAGUUUGAUCCUGGCUCAGAACGAACGCUGGCGGCAGGCUUAACACAUGCAAGUCGAGCGCACUCUUCGGAGUGAGCGGCGGACGGGUUAGUAACGCGUGGGAACGUGCCCUUCUCUAAGGAAUAGCCACUGGAAACGGUGAGUAAUACCUUAUACGCCCUUCGGGGGAAAGAUUUAUCGGAGAAGGAUCGGCCCGCGUUAGAUUAGAUAGUUGGUGGGGUAAUGGCCUACCAAGUCUACGAUCUAUAGCUGGUUUUAGAGGAUGAUCAGCAACACUGGGACUGAGACACGGCCCAGACUCCUACGGGAGGCAGCAGUGGGGAAUCUUAGACAAUGGGCGCAAGCCUGAUCUAGCCAUGCCGCGUGUGUGAUGAAGGCCCUAGGGUCGUAAAGCACUUUCGCCAGGGAUGAUAAUGACAGUACCUGGUAAAGAAACCCCGGCUAACUCCGUGCCAGCAGCCGCGGUAAUACGGAGGGGGUUAGCGUUGUUCGGAAUUACUGGGCGUAAAGCGUACGUAGGCGGAUCAGAAAGUAUAGGGUGAAAUCCCGAGGCUCAACCUCGGAACUGCCUUGUAAACUCCUGGUCUUGAGUUCGAGAGAGGUGAGUGGAAUUCCAAGUGUAGAGGUGAAAUUCGUAGAUAUUUGGAGGAACACCAGUGGCGAAGGCGGCUCACUGGCUCGAUACUGACGCUGAGGUACGAAAGUGUGGGGAGCAAACAGGAUUAGAUACCCUGGUAGUCCACACCGUAAACGAUGAAUGCCAGUCGUCGGGCAGUAUACUGUUCGGUGACACACCUAACGGAUUAAGCAUUCCGCCUGGGGAGUACGGUCGCAAGAUUAAAACUCAAGGAAUUGACGGG